This 484-nucleotide ribosomal RNA is filed under the name uncultured bacterium. Its description in RNAcentral is "partial 16S ribosomal RNA". It matches the Rfam family "Bacterial small subunit ribosomal RNA", at positions 28 to 523 of the family's 1533-position model. The record is from RNAcentral.
GACGAACGCUGGCGGCGUGCUUAACACAUGCAAGUCGAACGGUGAAGCCCUUCGGGGUGGAUCAGUGGCGAACGGGUGAGUAACACGUGAGCAACCUGCCCCUGGCUCUGGGACAACCACUGGAAACGGUGGCUAAUACCGGAUACGACUCGCCCCGGCAUCGGGUGCGGGUGGAAAGAUUUCAUCGGCUGGGGAUGGGCUCGCGGCCUAUCAGCUUGUUGGUGGGGUGAUGGCCCACCAAGGCGACGACGGGUAGCCGGCCUGAGAGGGCGACCGGCCACACUGGGACUGAGACACGGCCCAGACUCCUACGGGAGGCAGCAGUGGGGAAUAUUGCACAAUGGGCGCAAGCCUGAUGCAGCGACGCCGCGUGAGGGAUGACGGCCUUCGGGUUGUAAACCUCUUUCAGCUUUGACGAAGCCCUUCGGGGUGACGGUAGGAGCAGAAGAAGCACCGGCUAACUACGUGCCAGCCGCCGCAGUAA